RNAcentral lists this ribosomal RNA (497 nucleotides) under uncultured bacterium. RNAcentral describes it as "partial 16S ribosomal RNA". It matches the Rfam family "Bacterial small subunit ribosomal RNA", at positions 28 to 507 of the family's 1533-position model. The record is from RNAcentral.
GAUGAACGCUGGCGGCGUGCCUAAUACAUGCAAGUCGAGCGAAAGGGCGCGAAGCUUGCUUCUCUGAUGUUAGCGGAGGAGGGGAGUGUCACACGUGGAUAACGUACCUAUCUGAGUGGGAUCACUUCGGGACACCGUCGCAUACAGCGGAGGAUAUUUUGCACCGUAGGGUUGAAAGGUGAGAGUCGGUCUUUCUGGCUGUUAUCGCGGGUUACGCGCUGCAUUAGCUAGUUGGUAAGGUAACGGCUUACCAAGGCUACGAUGCAUAGCCGACCUGAGAGGGUGAUCGGCCACACUGGAACUGAGACACGGUCCAGACGCCUGCGGGAGGCAGCAGUAGGGAAUCUUCCGCAAUGGGCGAAAGCCUGACAGAGCAACGCCGCGUGAGUGAUGAAGGUCCUCGGAUCGUAAAACUCUGUUAGUAGGGAAGAACAUAUGUGUAAGUAACUGUGCACAUCUUGACGGUACCUAAUCAGAAAGCCACGGCUAACUACGUG